RNAcentral lists this ribosomal RNA (406 nucleotides) under uncultured bacterium. Its description in RNAcentral is "partial 16S ribosomal RNA". It matches the Rfam family "Bacterial small subunit ribosomal RNA", at positions 30 to 526 of the family's 1533-position model. The record is from RNAcentral.
AUUGAACGCUGGCGGCAGGCCUAACACAUGCAAGUCGAACGAGUGGCGGACGGGUGAGUAAUGUAUGGGACACUGCCUGAUGGAGGGGGAUAACUACUGGAAACGGUAGCUAAUACCGCAUACCAUCAGAUGUGCCCAUAUGGGAUUAGCUUGUGGGUGGGGUAAAGGCUCACCUAGGCGACGAUCCCUAGCUGGUCUGAGAGGAUGACCAGCCACACGGGAACUGAGACACGGCCCAGACUCCUACGGGAGGCAGCAGUGGGGAAUAUUGCACAAUGGGCGCAAGCCUGAUGCAGACAGGCCGCGUGUAUGAAGAAGGCCGUCGGGUUGUAAAGUACUUUCAGCGGGGAGGCGUUACCCGCAGAAGAAGCACCGGCUAACUCCGUGCCAGCAGCCGCGGUAAUUC